CCGUCUUCCUCCUCCUUCUCUGAGCUGCACGCCGACAUCAAACUGAUCUCACCUCCAUCCCUAGCCUCGAUCGGCGAUCAAAGAUUCCGCUUCUCCGCCGCCGUCGACCUCGCCGUCGUCUGAGCUGCGCGCCGACAUCAAACCUCCAUCCCGAGCCCUAGCUACUCGGUCGUCGUCUGAGGUAAGUGAUCCUCAUACUCUCUUUUAACAUUUAUUAAUUGCAUAUUGAUUGUUUAGUCCGAGCCUGGUACACCGAAUGCAUUUUGU
Molecule: non-coding RNA, 267 nt
Organism: Phoenix dactylifera (date palm)
Lineage: Eukaryota; Viridiplantae; Streptophyta; Magnoliopsida; Arecales; Arecaceae
Source: RefSeq, a predicted model, not a curated record